This 72-nucleotide transfer RNA is filed under the name Heterocephalus glaber (naked mole-rat). It matches the Rfam family "tRNA". Rfam says of the family: Transfer RNA (tRNA) molecules are approximately 80 nucleotides in length. Their secondary structure includes four short double-helical elements and three loops (D, anti-codon, and T loops). The record is from Rfam by way of RNAcentral. Lineage: Eukaryota; Metazoa; Chordata; Mammalia; Rodentia; Bathyergidae.
GGGGAUGUAGCUCAGUGGUACAAUGUGUGGUUAGUGAGCACAAGACCCUGGGUUCAACCCCCAGCAACAUCU